Molecule: long non-coding RNA, 836 nt
Filed under: Mus caroli (Ryukyu mouse)
Lineage: Eukaryota; Metazoa; Chordata; Mammalia; Rodentia; Muridae
Description: RIKEN cDNA 1810008B01 gene (MGP_CAROLIEiJ_G0004164.1)
Source: RNAcentral
AAGCGCAGUUUACCAUGGCGCGGCACUCCUGCGGCAGAAACGUGAGGCAGCUGGGCACCUUACAUCUGCCAGGAGUCGAAGCUCGGCUAGCUUCUGGUUUCUAUUCCGCCUGGGACCCCAGCUCAUCACACUGAUGCUGCUCCCGUGAGCCUGCCGCCCCUGCAGACGGCCAAGAGCCAUGAGCCUCACUCACUCCAGGAUGUUGCCUGCUUUGACAACCACCACCACCUGGGUGAGGAAAUCCGGUGCUGCGAGGAGAUGAUUCUCCAGCUCUCCCCGCAUGCUUGCAGAGACUUACUGGUCAUGCCGGGUGUCGGGGAUGCCUCUGUCCAUGUGCAGCUUGUCACUCUCCACCUGGUUGAACUUGUUGCGUGCAUAGGGGUCCUGCCCAGAGCGAACCAUUGUACCGCCAACGUAUGCCUCCUGGUUAAAGUCUGGCCACCGGACUUUGCCUGGAAAAAGUGAAGCAGAGGGUGUGGGACAAGCGGACACGAGACCAGAGUGUCGCCAGAGACGGCAGCAAGUGUUAGGUUGAGCGACAGUGGCCUUGGUUCGUUCACAGGAGGACAACUGUAAUCAAGAGUAUCUGAGAGGGCCCUGAACGUCGUCACACGGAAGCCAAGACUCUGCAAGACAAGAGUGAAAGCCCAAGCUCAUGCUUCACUCAGUGUCUCGCAAGACAGCCAGCAACUCAGGCGCCAUGGAGUUCUGGGAAGGGGGUGUUCUCUGUCUGCCUACCUUCCCAGGAAUUUGGGUCAUGUCCCCAAACAAUCCCCGUCAGGCAAAGGAAACAACAUGUGUAUAAGUUUAAUAAAAGACUCCACUCUGCAAUCAGG